AUUGAACGCUGGCGGCAUGCCUUACACAUGCAAGUCGAACGGCAGCACGGGAGCAAUCCUGGUGGCGAGUGGCGAACGGGUGAGUAAUAUAUCGGAACGUGCCCAGUCGUGGGGGAUAACGCAGCGAAAGCUGUGCUAAUACCGCAUACGAUCUAAGGAUGAAAGCGGGGGAUCGCAAGACCUCGCGCGAUUGGAGCGGCCGAUAUCAGAUUAGCUAGUUGGUGGGGUAAAGGCCCACCAAGGCGACGAUCUGUAGCUGGUCUGAGAGGACGACCAGCCACACUGGAACUGAGACACGGUCCAGACUCCUACGGGAGGCAGCAGUGGGGAAUUUUGGACAAUGGGCGCAAGCCUGAUCCAGCAAUGCCGCGUGCAGGAUGAAGGCCUUCGGGUUGUAAACUGCUUUUGUACGGAACGAAACGGCCCUUUCUAAUACAGGGGGCUAAUGACGGUACCGUAAGAAUAAGCACCGGCUAACUACGUGCCAGCAGCCGCCGCCG
This 500-nucleotide ribosomal RNA is filed under the name uncultured bacterium. RNAcentral's name for it is "partial 16S ribosomal RNA". It matches the Rfam family "Bacterial small subunit ribosomal RNA", at positions 30 to 523 of the family's 1533-position model. The record is from RNAcentral.